Molecule: long non-coding RNA, 732 nt
Organism: Acipenser ruthenus (sterlet)
Lineage: Eukaryota; Metazoa; Chordata; Actinopteri; Acipenseriformes; Acipenseridae
Exons: 3
Source: RefSeq, a predicted model, not a curated record
ACAGCAGAUGGAAGCUCUUUUACCUGCUGUGCAACACACACACACACACACACACGCUGAAUACAGAAACGUGUUGGUGGCUGUUGCCCAGGUAUUUGAGGUAUUUCUGCGGAUACAACAGAAUGGCGAAGAAGUCAGACAACUUUAAACUGAAAGCUGUUGAGCUCACAGAUCAGAUCAGUGUUUGACUAGCAAGACAACCAAACACUCACAGUCUCCUGGUCCAGGCAGGGCUUCGAUGAGGAAGAUGAUCUGAUCCCGUGGCUAUCCCCAGCGUCUCUUAUUAGCCAGAACACCGUGCAUACAACCAAAACAUAAAUGCAUUUAAGAAACUUAAAUAACAAUCAUACAUUACAACUAAAAUGUAUCUUUUCUGCUAAUUCCUAAAUAUAUAGUUAUUUUAAAGCUGCUGUAUCAGUACAUCGUGCUGUGUACCUAUGGUAUUCUUUUUUUGUUUGGGUCCCAUAAACUUUACAGUAAAAUACCGGCAUGCUGCAGUGUGUAAUUGUAUUAUUUAAUAUACAUUUUAUUUAAGUGUAUCCAAUUCAUUUUGUUUCUAUUUGUAAUGUUUUGCCAUAAUGUGUUUUGUAUGCGUUUCUUUAUUAAGUGCUGCAUUUAUUUGAGCUGGGGUAGGGAAGAAAAUGUACAUGGUAUCAUUAUUGAGAGCGCCGUUUUAUUCAAGGAUGGCGUCUAUCACAAAUUUAGUAUCUGAGUGUGGCGCUUAUUCAAGGU